UGGGGAAUAUUGGACAAUGGGCGAAAGCCUGAUCAAGCCAUGCCGCGUGUGUGAAGAAGGUCUUCGGAUUGUAAAGCACUUUAAGUUGGGAGGAAGGGCAUUAACCUAAUACGUUAGUGUUUUGACGUUACGGACAGAAUAAGCACCGGCUAAGUCUGUGCCAGCAGCCGCGGUAAUACAGAGGGUGCAAGCGUUAAUCGGAAUUACUGGGCGUAAAGCGCGCGUAGGUGGUUUGUUAAGUUGGAUGUGAAAUCCCCGGGCUCAACCUGGGAACUGCAUUCAAAACUGACUGACUAGAGUAUGGUAGAGGGUGGUGGAAUUUCCUGUGUAGCGGUGAAAUGCGUAGAUAUAGGAAGGAACACCAGUGGCGAAGGCGACCACCUGGACUAAUACUGACACUGAGGUGCGAAAGCGUGGGGAGCAAACA
Molecule: ribosomal RNA, 427 nt
Filed under: uncultured bacterium
Lineage: Bacteria
Description: partial 16S ribosomal RNA
Rfam family: Bacterial small subunit ribosomal RNA
Source: RNAcentral